This is a long non-coding RNA of Bubalus bubalis (water buffalo), 1428 nucleotides long. RefSeq lists it as uncharacterized. The record is from RefSeq and is a predicted model, not a curated record. The transcript has 8 exons. Lineage: Eukaryota; Metazoa; Chordata; Mammalia; Artiodactyla; Bovidae.
CAGGAGCCUGGCAGGAGGCCGUCUAUGGGGUCGCGCAAAGUCGGACACGACUGAAGCGACUUAGCAGCAGGAGCAGCAGCAAGCAUUUUACCCGUUUGCUCCUCCCACAAUCUUACUUUCUGCUCUCAAGAUUUCUUUUUAUUUUCAUACAAUAGAAAGUGUAAAUUUUACUUUUCUUUCACUAGGGUAACACCAUUUCCCAAGAAAACGAUACAGCUUUGCACAUUAUUUCACAGCCAAAGGAACUACAUCCAUUUGCUGGUACUUUGGGUUCAUUCUGCAAUAGACAACUAGCUUCCAAGCCUCUUCACGGGGUGAACAGUUCUGGUGGCGCCUCUUGAUGACGUGCCUAGUUCGCACGUGCCUGCUUUAAAAAGCCUGAGUCGGCUGCAUGCGCAGCAGCAGGAGGUUGGAGAGACACUAGGCCAAGGCUUUGCGUGGCUUUGCACCCACUGGGACCUCAACCCGAAGGGGCUCCCAAGAGGAGUGUGGUCCGUGUGUGGGGCUUCCUGUGCAACAGCUCUGACUUAGUGGAGGUUUCGUGGUUAGAAACCACCAUUUUCCUUAGAAAAGCCGUUGCCAUUUUAUGGGUGAAUCUGUGCGGUCAGCGGCGGCCCUGCUGACAGCUUUUGGAAGCCACCCACACUGGAGGAUUCGCAACUUGCCUGCCAGCUACUGUUCCUGUGAAUUUGACUUCUCCAGAAAUUAAGCAGCAUUUGAAGAAGCAAAAUGGAUCAUGAAGAAUGCUGGAAGAAAUAAGGCCUCCAUUCUGGUCCCAGAUGCAGCAGCAUUAGCCAGGAAGGAAGGACAACUUCCAAGGAAUAAGAACUUCCUUAGGCAAUGGAAGUCAGUGGAGGGUGCUUCAUAGGAGAGGACGUGGACAGAUGGAUAUAGAAAACAGUCCAAGUAAGGACACAAUGAGAAGAGGGCCGUCUGCAAACCAGGAAGAAGAGUCUCACUGGAAGCAAAUCCUGUGGGCACCUGGCUCCUGUAUUUUGAGGCUCCAGAAUUGACUUCCAAAACCAUGUUGAAUCAAAGUGGUGACAAUGGACACCCUUGCCUUGUUCCAGAUCUUAGAGGGAAUGCUUUCAGCUUUUCACCAUUGGGAAUGAUGUCAGCUAUGAAUUUGUCAUAUAUGGCCUUUAUUAUGUUGAGGUCUUUAAUUGAGCAGUAAGAAGUAGUGUUCCAAAUUAAAAGGCAAUCACCACUGUGAAAGAAAUCCUCCAGCACAACCUAAACUCCUGGAAAGUCACAUGGACAUGUUCUUUCAAUGGAAGUAAACAUGCCACCUAAAACAUCAUGUGUAAUUCAACUCAAACAAUGACUCUUCAAGGGAUUUUGAAUAUAGAGAAAUACUUGAUUCCAUUCCUAAAAAACUGAUGGUGUAGGUAUGUGGAGGGAGGAGGGCGGAGGGUUCAGGAUGGGGAA